RNAcentral lists this ribosomal RNA (463 nucleotides) under Parawixia audax. Its description in RNAcentral is "partial large subunit ribosomal RNA". It matches the Rfam family "Bacterial large subunit ribosomal RNA", at positions 1809 to 2604 of the family's 2925-position model. Lineage: Eukaryota; Metazoa; Arthropoda; Arachnida; Araneae; Araneidae. The record is from RNAcentral.
AAAAACAUUUUUUAUAGAAAUAAUUAUAAGUAACACCUGCUCAAUGAAACUUAAAUAGCCGCGGAAAUUUAACUGUGCUAAGGUAGCAUAAUCAUUAGCCUCUUAAUUAGAGGCUUGUAUGAAUGGUGAAACAAUUUAAUAUCUUUAUUACUUACUUUUUUUAAAUUUAAAUUAAGAAUAAAAAUGUUCUUAUAUAAAAAAUAGACGAUAAGACCCUUUUGAACUUUACAUUUUGUUUGGCUGGGGCAGCCAAAUAAUUUAAAUUUUAUUUAUUUUUGUAUAAAAAUAAACGAUCCAAUUAAAUUGAUUAUUUGACUAAGUUACCAUAGGGAUAACAGCGUAAUGUCUUUUUAAAGCUCUUAUUAAAAAAGAAGAUUGCGACCUCGAUGUUGAAUUAAUAUAACUUUACAUAGUGCAAUAACUGUAAAAGUAGGUCUGUUCGACCUUUAAUUUAUUACAUGAU